CGUGUUAAUGACAGUAACAAUCAGAUUCUUUUGUUGACUUCGGCCACAUGGGUCUGUAAUCUCGAUAGUGACCGUGUAUGUCCCAUAAUUCAAAGUACCUCCGGUAUGGAUUUCACCUGCAACAGUAUUCAGUGUGAAUUCUGGGGCGUUGUUCUUCUGAAUAGUGAUGUAGGGAAUAUCUGCGGCAUUGGGAUCGCUAUAGCUGACAGUAUAUACAUAAGUUCCUAAUGCGACAGUGUCCAGGACUGUUACUGUCUGCGGAAGGUACUCACAGUCGGCCACAGAGAAUUGAAUGCCGUAGUUUCUGCCCGUAAUGUACGGUGUGUUCAAGGUGUAGGUACCCCCUACAGAAAAUCCCGGCACCCCCGACAACUGGAUGUUCUGAUCUACCGUAGUUAUGGAGU
Magallana angulata is the source of this 404-nucleotide long non-coding RNA. RefSeq lists it as uncharacterized. The record is from RefSeq and is a predicted model, not a curated record. Lineage: Eukaryota; Metazoa; Mollusca; Bivalvia; Ostreida; Ostreidae. The transcript is spliced from 3 exons.